RNAcentral lists this ribosomal RNA (345 nucleotides) under uncultured bacterium. Its description in RNAcentral is "partial 16S ribosomal RNA". It matches the Rfam family "Bacterial small subunit ribosomal RNA", at positions 355 to 717 of the family's 1533-position model. The record is from RNAcentral.
UGGGGAAUAUUGGACAAUGGGGGCAACCCUGAUCCAGCAAUGCCGCGUGUGUGAAGAAGGUCUUCGGAUUGUAAAGCACUUUCGACGGGGACGAUGAUGACGGUACCCGUAGAAGAAGCCCCGGCUAACUUCGUGCCAGCAGCCGCGGUAAUACGAAGGGGGCUAGCGUUGCUCGGAAUGACUGGGCGUAAAGGGCGUGUAGGCGGUUUACACAGUCAGAUGUGAAAUCCCCGGGCUUAACCUGGGAGCUGCAUUUGAUACGUGUAGACUAGAGUGUGAGAGAGGGUUGUGGAAUUCCCAGUGUAGAGGUGAAAUUCGUAGAUAUUGGGAAGAACACCGGUGGCG